This 459-nucleotide ribosomal RNA is filed under the name uncultured bacterium. RNAcentral describes it as "partial 16S ribosomal RNA". It matches the Rfam family "Bacterial small subunit ribosomal RNA", at positions 338 to 795 of the family's 1533-position model. The record is from RNAcentral.
CCUACGGUGAGCAGCAGUGAGGAAUAUUGGUCAAUGGGAGGAAUCCUGAACCAGCCAUGCCGCGUGCAGGACGACGGCUCUACGAGUUGUAAACUGCUUUUGUACCGGGGUAAAAUGCUCUACGAGUAGGGUUUUGAAAGUACGGUACGAAUAAGGAUCGGCUAAAUCCGUGCCAGCAGCCGCGGUAAUACGGAGGAUCCGAGCGUUAUCCGGCUUCAUUGGGUUUAAAGGGUGCGUAGGUUGUUUUAUAAGUUAGCGGUGAAAUACCGAUGCUCAACUUCGGAAUUGCCUCUGAUACUGUUCGGCUAGAGAGUAGUUGCGGUAGGCGGAAUGUAUGGUGUAGCGGUGAAAUGCUUAGAGAUCAUACAGAACACCGAUUGCGAAGGCAGCUUACCAAGCUACUUCUGACGUUGAGGCACGAAAGCGUGGGGAGCAAACAGGAUUAGAUACCCGGGUGUC